This 352-nucleotide ribosomal RNA is filed under the name uncultured bacterium. RNAcentral describes it as "bacterial SSU rRNA". It matches the Rfam family "Bacterial small subunit ribosomal RNA", at positions 8 to 349 of the family's 1533-position model. The record is from RNAcentral.
AGAGUUUGAUCCUGGCUCAGGAUGAACGCUAGCUACAGGCUUAACACAUGCAAGUCGAGGGGCAGCAUGGUCUUAGCUUGCUAAGGCCGAUGGCGACCGGCGCACGGGUGAGUAACACGUAUCCAACCUGCCGUCUACUCUUGGACAGCCUUCUGAAAGGAAGAUUAAUACAAGAUGGCAUCAUGAGUCCACAUGUUCACAUGAUUAAAGGUAUUCCGGUAGACGAUGGGGAUGCGUUCCAUUAGGAUAGUAGGCGGGGUAACGGCCCACCUAGUCUUCGGAUGGAUAGGGGUUCUGAGAGGAAGGUCCCCCANAUUGGAACUGAGACACGGUCCAAACUCCUACGGGAGCA